Molecule: long non-coding RNA, 3021 nt
Organism: Brienomyrus brachyistius
Lineage: Eukaryota; Metazoa; Chordata; Actinopteri; Osteoglossiformes; Mormyridae
Exons: 3
Source: RefSeq, a predicted model, not a curated record
UUUUUUGUAUGCUUCAGAAUAUCCAACCAUUUUAUUUCAUAUAUUUUAUAUAUAGUCGGGAAUUCUGAAUGCAAAACAAACAUUUAAAUGUUUAAAUUCAAAACAGGCUAGAUUUCAGUAAAGACAAGCUGUACUUUACCCUGGAAUCUUCAGUGCAGAGCAUCACUUCAGACAGCCCUGGAUUUGUGGUACUUUCCUCAUUAUUGCAUUAACGACACAAAUAUAGUAGAGGGUGAGAAGGAGAGUAGGAUGAAAUGAGUGCCAAAGGAAAACAGGAUGGACAGAUUGGCAGGAAAAGAGUAAGAAUGGAUGUGUGCAAGGAGAAAACUCAUGAACAAGAAAAAUGGAACUAAAAAGGUUAGCAUUAAGAACUGUAGAAGAGCAAAAGUGACCAUUUUUAUCCUUUAAUCCAUAAUAGACAGUGCCAGUCAAAAAUUUGGACACAUGGGUUUAUUUGUACUAUUCUCUACAUUUUUGAAUGAUUAUGAAGACAUCAAAACUAUAAAACAUAUAGAUAUUAAACUACUGUAGUGGUCAUUUUCCCCACUACUACUAUAAAACUACAGACAAAAAUUAAGGCCACAGCACAAUUUUUGGUUUUCACUCAUUUAUGAAUUUAUUGAUGUGCAUCUGUGAAAAAUAUUUUUUCUGCAAACUCCACCCUGGUUCUUCUCGGUUUCUCAUUAAUGAAGGGCUUCUUCCUUGCUUUAUUGGACUUCAGUCCUGCUUCUCAGAGCCUGAUACAAACUAUCCUAGCAGUGCACUUCAUACCUGCACAUAGCAUUUCUCAUUCCUUUUGAAGGUCACUUGAUGUCAUCCUACAUCUCUGGCAUUAGAAUGUCACUUCCGCCCUUUACCUGGCUUUUCUGCUCGUUCCCAGUGUCUCCUGCUUCACCUUCUUCUUGUGUACUUCGUACUUAAAAAUUUUGAACCUGGAUGGAUCCUGCUGCUCAGCAUAGCCUUCUGCCAGCAGAACCACAAUUAAACCAGGAUUUAAAUGAAGAUUUGUUUAAAACAUAGAGGAGUCUCUUAUUUUCCUGCUGCUGUAUAUGGAGUUAUGCACUGACCAAGAAGGUAUUAAGAACUAAAGAUUGAGGGGAGAUGGAGCAGCUCUGAGUUGGGACUCAGAAGGUUCCCAGUCAAAUCCCUGCAUAGGCAGAGUGAUGCCCAAUCCGUUAACCCCAAUUCCUGGGUGACCCUACUUUCUCCACGCCAGUUUCAUGAGGUCUUCUCCUGGGAUGCUUUUCUAGCUGUUCUGAAGGAGUUCCACAAAUAUGCUGAAUACUCUGUCCCGGAACAGGGUGGAUUUGAGGUGACGGCGAGGCAUCAUGCAGGAGAGGUGACAGCUCAGAGGAGAAAUGGAGAUUUAUUAAGAAACAGAAAAACACAAGAAACACUACAAAAUAAAAGGACCACGAGGGGUGAAGAGUAAGCAGGGAUAAACAAAGACUAAUUACAAAAUGGGUCAGGACAACAAGGGGCGGGCAGGUAACAAAGAACACAGCAUAAGACCUCAAAGAACAUCAAACAAACAUCAACGACUCCAGCAGGAACAGAACAAGAUCAGGAACUUAAAUACAAAAACUGAACCGGGUAACGACACAGCAGGAGUGUGACAUAGACAAUUAACCAAUCCGGGAGAGUGCAGGGCAACGAGCAAUCAGAUAAACACACAAGGGCAGGCACUAAAACAGGCAACGGCUGAAACUAAUAAUUAAACUCAGGGAACUCUAACAAAGAAACUAAGAAACAAAAUGUACACUAGGGGAAUCACAGACAGGACCUGUCUGCAUAUUUGUCUUCAACCUGAGCCCUUGGAUGAAUCCUUCAUAUGCUGUCUCACAAAGGCCAAACAUCUGGCAGCUGGCAGGGGAAAAGAGAUCCACACCAGAUUGGAGUUGUGCACGAGAGAUGCUCAGCCGGUGCUCCCCAGGCUGACCCGAAAUGUCUCAUCACUGGGGAGCCAGGCGCAGCCUACCACAUGCCACUUUAUGAAACACUGAUUAUUUGUGAGUUAAUGCGAUCACCGUGGGUCCCACGAAGACUUGCACAUGUAACAGGAAUGGAGACUUAAAUAAUUUUAAAUGGGUGUUUAUUUGUAAAGUGAGCAGACGUGUGUUAAUGUUUACAUGUAUAUGUGUGAGAGUGCUUACCUGCCUGUGUGUGCAUGUUUAUUUUUUGUCCCUCUGUGCCGGAGGUUUAAAGAUUUGUAAGCAGAACAGAUUAAUUCGAACAUUUAUUUUAUUAUCCAUCCAUCUUUUAUAAUUGCUUAUUCAGCCCAGGGUCCCAGGACACCCUGUAAGGGAUUGCCCAUCCACCACAAGGCACACAUCUAAACCCUUUAGAGACACCAAUUACCUGCCCACAUGUGAAAUCCAGAUCAUGAUUUUGUUUCAACGAUACAGGGAUACUGUAGGGAGUGUGAGUCACAUGCUUACUCAGAAAGCCACAUAUACACCUUCAGCACCACACAGACAGAGACAGCCUACGCUUCUCAAAGGCAGUUGCACACACAUGCAGUACCCCUUCAUUUCUAUAUUACAGAACAUCAGAAGCAUGCUCCAGUACAGAAAUGCAGCUUCUAUCUUUUCAGCAUUUUGACAAACCUAUUCUCACAAAUAAACACACAUAAAACAUAAAAGGUUUGUGCAAACCUACCAACAUGUAGCAGAAAAAUAUCACAUACUGUUUCAUUUUACUUUGUUUGGGUUGUAUUACACAUGCACUGAGACUUGAAUGCACACUUGCUUGUUGGUUAGGGGAUAUCUAAGUAAUCGUGAACAUGCAUGCUUUCGGGGGGAGUGGGGGGGGGGGGUUAGGUUCACCACUGAAAACUCAAUCUCUGCAGACAUGGAGGUACAAUUAUACUUCUGCUCCUUGAUCUUGCAUGUAUUUAUUACAAUUUUCCAUCAAAAAAUGUCCCUGUUUUAACAACUGUAGAACUGCAGGAUGUCCAGGAAAAGAAAACUGCAACUUGAAACCAGAAUUUUUUAGACAAACAUAAGUUUUGUUUAUAAAAGA